CAGCCGCCGCGGUAAUACGUAGGGGGCGAGCGUUACCCGGAUUCACUGGGCGUAAAGCGGGUGUAGGCGGCUCGGUAAGCCGGGUGUGAAAUCCCACAGCUCAACUGUGGAAUUGCGCCCGAAACUGCUGAGCUUGGGGCCGGUAGAGGGAGACGGAACUGCCGGUGUAGGGGUGAAAUCCGUAGAUAUCGGCAGGAACGCCGGUGGGGAAGCCGGUCUCCUGGGCCGCGCCCGACGCUGAGACCCGAAAGCUAGGGGAGCAAACCGGAUUAGAUACCCGGGUAGUCCUAGCCGUAAACGAUGCCCACUAGGUGUGGGGGAUUAAUUCCUCCGUGCUGUAGCUAACGCGUUAAGUGGGCCGCCUGGGGAGUACGCCCGCAAGGGUGAAACUUAAAGGAAUUGGCGGG
This 407-nucleotide ribosomal RNA is filed under the name uncultured microorganism. RNAcentral describes it as "bacterial SSU rRNA". It matches the Rfam family "Bacterial small subunit ribosomal RNA", at positions 509 to 917 of the family's 1533-position model. The record is from RNAcentral.